This 626-nucleotide long non-coding RNA is filed under the name Capsicum annuum. RNAcentral's name for it is "long non-coding RNA (CANN_LNC001994)". Lineage: Eukaryota; Viridiplantae; Streptophyta; Magnoliopsida; Solanales; Solanaceae. The record is from RNAcentral.
GCAUAUUAUAUUAAUUAAUACAUAUUAUAUUAAUUAAUAUAUUUAUUAAAUAUUUAUUAAAUUAUUUAUAUAAAUAUAUAAAUAAUAAAAUAUAUAAUAUAUAUAAAUAAUAAAAAAUAAGACGAAUAAAUGAAUUCUUUUUGAUUCUGCAUCUUCACGUGACUUAAUAGGAGAGAAAGAUUCAGUUUAUAAGGAAUGAUUAAAAGGAAUGAUUAAAACUAUUUCUCUUUCUAACUUUCGAAUAAAUUUAGAAAGUUCUCUUUUCGACAUCACAUCAUUAUUCAAAGAAAAUUUGAUAGUUAAAAAUAACUUUUGAUCAUCUUAGGAAAAAAGAUAAGUCUUUUUUUUUUAAGUGAAUCAUCAACGAUUUCAAUGAUUUACAUUCAAUGAUUUACAAUAGAUAAAUACACCAAACAACAAAUCCAAUUUUGUUUAUGAGUUAUGAGAUAGAUAAAAAAAGAUUAAUGUCAGGUAAGGUUUGAAUUCUUAUUCUUUUUUUUCAUCUGAUUGAUAAAAUACAAAGAAUGGGGAGGUGUUCGUAUCUAUCAAUUCGAUCAAAUAGACUGAGCAAUUAUCACCCUUUAUAGAUAUUGAAAUGAAUGCCUUCCCAUUACUGAUUAACUCCU